CAGGGGCCUACAGUGCAGGGCAGAAACAUGGCCGCCUUUGCUCUGUCCAUCAUGCCACACCAACACCUGGCGAAAGUGGUUGCAUACCUCCUCCAGUUUCCCUUCAGAGACUGCGAGAGAGUAUGGAAGGAGGUUUUGGCAUCGGCCGACCAAGAACAACUGCUCCAUCUCAUGGCCGAGCAGCUUUACCAAAGCCCCUUGGCAGAAUCUGCCACCCAAGUGCAACAUCUCACCAG
Non-coding RNA from Zootoca vivipara (common lizard), 236 nucleotides. The record is from RefSeq and is a predicted model, not a curated record. NCBI's taxonomy places the organism in Eukaryota, Metazoa, Chordata, Lepidosauria, Squamata, Lacertidae.